This 254-nucleotide ribosomal RNA is filed under the name uncultured bacterium. RNAcentral describes it as "partial 16S ribosomal RNA". It matches the Rfam family "Bacterial small subunit ribosomal RNA", at positions 524 to 776 of the family's 1533-position model. The record is from RNAcentral.
CACGUAGGGUGCGAGCGUUGUCCGGAAUUAUUGGGCGUAAAGAGCUCGUAGGCGGUGUGUCGCGUCGGCCGUGAAAACCUGCAGCUUAACUGUGGGCUUGCGGUCGAUACGGGCAUCACUGGAGUUCGGCAGGGGAGACUGGAAUUCCCGGUGUAGCAGUGAAAUUCGUAGAUAUUGGGAAGAACACCGGUGGCGAAGGCGGCUCUCUGGACCGAGACUGACGCUGAGGCGCGAAAGCGUGGGGAGCAAACAGG